This is a long non-coding RNA of Populus nigra (black poplar), 733 nucleotides long. RefSeq lists it as uncharacterized. The record is from RefSeq and is a predicted model, not a curated record. Lineage: Eukaryota; Viridiplantae; Streptophyta; Magnoliopsida; Malpighiales; Salicaceae. The transcript is spliced from 2 exons.
UGUUCCAUUCCGCCAUACGAGACUUUGGUACCAAUUUCUUUAUACCAUGGAAGUGCUUCCACUCUCUCUAAGCCAAGUUGUAGCAUUUUCUUUAUCAAUUCAUCAAAACAAAGGCACUGGAAUCAGAUACUAUUCACCGGCACUCCGUAGAUAAACCACAACAUCAAAUCAAUGUUGCCUCAGAUCAUCUGUAAUUGUUGGAUUGUGAUCGAUUUUUGGAGCAAUUAAAGCUUCCAAAGCAUCCUAGACAUGAGGAACAAGGGAACAUUUUUCAAGCCUCUGCUUUUCAUUCAAAAGAUGUCCAGGGGAAGCCUGAUGGUGGUUCAACAAGAAGAUGUGUACAGGUUUAGGUUCACAAGCAGGGGACUGCUGUAGGGAGGUCUCUAGACCCAACAAAGUUUAAUGGCUACAAUGAAUUGACAACAAAAUUGGAUCAGAUUCUUGAAUUCAAUGGUAAAUUAGCUGCUCCUAACAAAGAUAGGCUGAUUGUUUCUAUUAAUGAUGAGGGUGAUAUGAUACUUGUCGGAGAUUAUCCCUGGCUGUAAGAACUCAAACCCUAGGUCCUAUUUUUCUGUUUGAACACAAAUUGAUCGGCAAAUCUCAUUCACUCUCUUUGUCCUUGAAUGAUAUAAGACUUUAGUACCAACUGCUUUGCUCUGUCCUUAAAUGAUACAAGGCAAGUUGUAAAAUCGUUAUUCAGAUGCAAGACUGUAUCUCAUCUUAAUUCCUCCCU